UGGGGGAUUAGUGGCGAACGGGUGAGUAACACGUGAGUAACCUGCCCUUGACUCUGGGAUAAGCCUGGGAAACUGGGUCUAAUACCGGAUACGACCAUCUGGCGCAUGUCAUGGUGGUGGAAAGCUUUUGUGGUUUUGGAUGGACUCGCGGCCUAUCAGCUUGUUGGUGGGGUAAUGGCCUACCAAGGCGACGACGGGUAGCCGGCCUGAGAGGGUGACCGGCCACACUGGGACUGAGACACGGCCCAGACUCCUACGGGAGGCAGCAGUGGGGAAUAUUGCACAAUGGGCGCAAGCCUGAUGCAGCGACGCCGCGUGAGGGAUGACGGCCUUCGGGUUGUAAACCUCUUUCAGUAGGGAAGAAGCGAAAGUGACGGUACCUGCAGAAGAAGCGCCGGCUAACUACGUGCCAGCAGCCGCGGUAAUACGUAGGGCGCAAGCGUUAUCCGGAAUUAUUGGGCGUAAAGAGCUCGUAGGCGGUUUGUCGCGUCUGCUGUGAAAGACCGGGGCUCAACUCCGGUUCUGCAGUGGGUACGGGCAGACUAGAGUGCAGUAGGGGAGACUGGAAUUCCUGGUGUAGCGGUGAAAUGCGCAGAUAUCAGGAGGAACACCGAUGGCGAAGGCAGGUCUCUGGGCUGUAACUGACGCUGAGGAGCGAAAGCAUGGGGAGCGAACAGGAUUAGAUACCCUGGUAGUCCAU
This 700-nucleotide ribosomal RNA is filed under the name Arthrobacter sp. KP8. Its description in RNAcentral is "bacterial SSU rRNA". It matches the Rfam family "Bacterial small subunit ribosomal RNA", at positions 85 to 798 of the family's 1533-position model. Lineage: Bacteria; Bacillati; Actinomycetota; Actinomycetes; Micrococcales; Micrococcaceae. The record is from RNAcentral.